RNAcentral lists this ribosomal RNA (200 nucleotides) under uncultured bacterium. RNAcentral describes it as "partial 16S ribosomal RNA". It matches the Rfam family "Bacterial small subunit ribosomal RNA", at positions 8 to 189 of the family's 1533-position model. The record is from RNAcentral.
AGAGUUUGAUCCUGGCUCAGGAUGAACGCUGGCGGCGUGCUUAACACAUGCAAGUCGAACGAAGCACUUAAGCAGAUUUCUUCGGAUUGAAGCUUUUGUGACUGAGUGGCGGACGGGUGAGUAACGCGUGGGCAACCUGCCUCAUACAGGGGGAUAACAGUCAGAAAUGACUGCUAAUACCGCAUAAGCUUACAGAAUCG